This 1316-nucleotide long non-coding RNA is filed under the name Gossypium barbadense (sea-island cotton). Its description in RNAcentral is "long non-coding RNA (GBAR_LNC019749)". Lineage: Eukaryota; Viridiplantae; Streptophyta; Magnoliopsida; Malvales; Malvaceae. The record is from RNAcentral.
AAAAAUCUGCUAUGAUAAUAAAUUCAAAUGAAAUAAAAAUAUUUAUAAAUAAAAAAUAAACAAUAAAUAAAUAAAGUUUAUAACUUAUAUUUAAGAUAUAAAUUAAUUGACAAAUUUCAAAUAAAACAAGGCAAACAAAGAAAAUUGUGGGUGAAUGAGUUUGAAAAAAAAACAACUUUCUUUUGAUUAACAUGUUCAUUGAAUAUAAAAAGGAAGUUGUACAAAGCCCAAAUUGCCCGGGCCACUAAAACCAAAUAAACAAGCCCAAAACAAUUCCUAGCCCAGCGAAAAAUAAACCAACCCAAACCCUAAGCAGUAUGGCUUCCCCUCUCCAGCCGCCCCAAACUUCGGAGCCAAUCUCCUCCACGUGCGCCACUCCUCCACGCGCGCCAUGGCUUGCGCGCCGCACCUGCACAACAAACAGAAACAAAACAGCAAGAAAAAGGGAUAAUAGCAAACGAAAUAGGAUUUAUUUUUAUUAUUUCGGGCUAUAAAAGCCCUAUUUUCAUGUACAAAAAGGAAAAAAGACAGAGGGAAAAAUAUAGAUAAUAGAGCAAAGAUCAGUUUUUGAGGUAUUAGAAGUGUUUAAGUAAUUUUUUUAUUUUGUUUCUGCUCAUGUAAUGAAAAAAGGGAAAGAGAGUUUUGUUCUUUCAUUCUAUUUUGUUUUUAUUUCAUUAUUAUCUUUUAUUUCUUUUCUUUAAAAUUCGAAAAAGAAAGAAAAAGGGAGACUUACCUUUCGCCGGAGUCGUCGAGCUGGUGUCCCCUCCGACGAAAUCGGGACGUGGGCUGAACGGCGGCCAAAGGGUUACGAAAACCCCAAAAGAAGCAGUUCCUGCUUCAAAGGGAAAGGCAAAUGUUUCCCUAAUUUUUAAAACUUAAAACUGAGCAAUGAUGCACUAUUUAGUUUGGGGGUCCGCGCAUAUCAAUAUUCAAUGGGAGAAUUGCGCAAUAAGUCCUUCCCCUUUGCGCCAUGUUUUAUUAGGUCAAUUAUUACUUUUUAAUUUGGCCCAAAUGUUUUUACCUUGUUUCAAAUCGGUCCCCAUUGCGAUGCAGCGUUUUAGGGAGGCGGAUUAUUUCCAUUUGGGCCCCCUCAUAUAAUGCGUGCGUUGCAGAUUGGUCCCUGUUCUAUUUUAAUUUCAUUUUUUAUUUAUUCUCUUUUUUUCCCGUUAUUUUUUUUUAUUUUUUUUCAAAUUCUAUUUUUAGAAUUAUUACUAUAUUAUUUAUUAUCAUUUAUUACUAUUUCUAUAUUCAUAUACGAUUUUUUUUGUUACUCAUAUAUUUUACAUUAUAUAUAUAUACUUAUACAUUUCUUUUAU